Long non-coding RNA from Drosophila sechellia, 679 nucleotides. RefSeq lists it as uncharacterized. The transcript has 3 exons. NCBI's taxonomy places the organism in Eukaryota, Metazoa, Arthropoda, Insecta, Diptera, Drosophilidae. The record is from RefSeq and is a predicted model, not a curated record.
UUUACGCAUUUUAAGACAAAUAACUUGUACAUAAAAUAAAUUAGUUAGUUUAAAUUAGUUUGGCUCUAAUAUUAUUAUUGCAAUAAUGUGUAAAACUCCCUGCAGGCCCUGCGGUUGCACAUUUUUUAUGUGAUGCAUAAUGCAUUUCCGGAGCUCCCUAUCUCCCCCAUAUUGUGGACUAGACGAGGCCUAGGCUUUGACUUUGGCUUUGAUUACAACUGCAAUUGGACUAGUUGGAGUGGCUUGGGAUUAUAUUGCAACUCAUAUUUUUUACCCACUCUGCAGUGACAUAUUUCACGCUUAUCGCUCAACUUUCCCAGACUUUCUCAUAGGUCAUCAGAUAUGAUUGCAAAAUAUUUGUUGAAUGUCUAGGUGGAAAUUUCGAUAGCUACUCGCAUUACCAGCGCUUUUUGUCACCCCGCUGUCCUCAGUCGUCGUGUCAACAAAUUUCAGUGGAUGGCGCUAUUUAAAUGCCUUAUCAUCAGCGUAACUUCAUCCCAACCUCCACAGAUCUCUUGGUCAUUUCCGUUACUCGUUAAACGAUAAGCUCGAAGUCCAAUAAAAAUUCAUCAAUUUUUGAGACGUACUUAGGCCUUAUCACGCCAAUAAAUGCAAACAGAUCUGCUGGCAAGGUGUCAAUUUAAAAAAAUGUUUUAUGCGCAAAAAAGCUGUGAAUGAA